UAUUAAAGGCAACGCCUGCCCGGUGAAUAAUUAAACGGCCGCGGUACCCUAACCGUGCAAAGGUAGCGUAAUCACUUGUCUAUUAAUUGUAGACCCGUAUGAAAGGCAUAAUGAGGGUCUGACUGUCUCUUUUAGUAAGUCAAUUAAACUGAUCUCCUAGUACAAAAGCUAGAAUACCAACAUAAGACCAGAAGACCCUGUGAAACUUUAACCAAACUAUCAGAACCCAUGAUAACUACUUUAGGUUGGGGCGACCUUGGAAAAAAAAGAACUUCCAAACACACAUAUAUACAUAUAUACAAUAUACUACCAGGCUAACAAGCCCACAACGACCCAGCACAGCUGACAAUUGAACCAAGCUACUCCAGGGAUAACAGCGCUAUCUUCUUCAAGAGCCCAUAUCAAAAAGAAGGUUUACGACCUCGAUGUUGGAUCAGGACAUCCUAACGGUGCAACCGCUAUUAAGGGUUCGUUUG
This 476-nucleotide ribosomal RNA is filed under the name Hydrelaps darwiniensis. Its description in RNAcentral is "partial 16S ribosomal RNA". It matches the Rfam family "Bacterial large subunit ribosomal RNA", at positions 1844 to 2579 of the family's 2925-position model. Lineage: Eukaryota; Metazoa; Chordata; Lepidosauria; Squamata; Elapidae. The record is from RNAcentral.